This 230-nucleotide long non-coding RNA is filed under the name Glycine max (soybean). Its description in RNAcentral is "long non-coding RNA (GMAX_LNC000008)". The record is from RNAcentral. Lineage: Eukaryota; Viridiplantae; Streptophyta; Magnoliopsida; Fabales; Fabaceae.
GUGAUUUGUACCUUCAUUUCUUUUAAUAGUGGUGCUUUGAUAUAACAUAUUUUUGAGAUUUUUUUCUCCAGGUAGUUACUUUGCAAAAAUAUAUAAAUAUUUGCUGACAAAACACUGUUGCCUGUGACUUGUUUGGCUCCUGACAAUGUUACCAGAACUGUAAUCCAGCGGUUUAUAAAAAUAAACAUAGCAUAUGUUGUGGAGUUUUUUUUUUUACUGCUGUUAUGGAG